This is a long non-coding RNA of Trematomus bernacchii (emerald rockcod), 307 nucleotides long. RefSeq lists it as uncharacterized. Lineage: Eukaryota; Metazoa; Chordata; Actinopteri; Perciformes; Nototheniidae. The transcript has 3 exons. The record is from RefSeq and is a predicted model, not a curated record.
CGGUCAUCAGCUGACAUUUGUCUUUCCUCUUCAUACUCGUUUUCUGGAAAGUCAUUAAUAUAUUGUCUUUCAUUAAGCUUCUCAAGGUGAACAAUUGAGGUCCUGUUCACUACUGCCACAGGGGUUUCAUCAUCCGGAUCUGUGGAAGCAUUAGGUGGACCAUUAACGACCCAUCCUGACAGUGUUUUCACUGCAUAUGGGCCGUUUCCUUGGAUAAGGCCAUUUCUUGAGGUCCGCCUGGAAGGACUUCAGUUCUCCGUCCUCUAGCACCAAGCUGCCUCAUGAGCCCCUCUGUGCAAAAUGUGUC